GGGCGUAAGGGCUCGCAGGCGGUUUCUUAAGUCUGAUGUGAAAGCCCCCGGCUCAACCGGGGAGGGUCAUUGGAAACUGGGGAACUUGAGUGCAGAAGAGGAGAGUGGAAUUCCACGUGUAGCGGUGAAAUGCGUAGAGAUGUGGAGGAACACCAGUGGCGAAGGCGACUCUCUGGUCUGUAACUGACGCUGAGGAGCGAAAGCGUGGGGAGCGAACAGGAUUAGAUACCCUGGUAGUCCACGCCGUAAACGAUGAGUGCUAAGUGUUAGGGGGUUUCCGCCCCUUAGUGCUGCAGCUAACGCAUUAAGCACUCCGCCUGGGGAGUACGGUCGCAAGACUGAAACUCAAAGGAAUUGACGGGGGCCCGCACAAGCGGUGGAGCAUGUGGUUUAAUUCGAAGCAACGCGAAGAACCUUACCAGGUCUUGACAUCCUCUGACAAUCCUAGAGAUAGGACGUCCCCUUCGGGGGCAGAGUGACAGGUGGUGCAUGGUUGUCGUCAGCUCGUGUCGUGAGAUGUUGGGUUAAGUCCCGCAACGAGCGCAACCCUUGAUCUUAGUUGCCAGCAUUCAGUUGGGCACUCUAAGGUGACUGCCGGUGACAAACCGGAGGAAGGUGGGGAUGACGUCUAAUCAUCAUGCCCCUUAUGACCUGGGCUACACACGUGCUACAAUGGACAGA
This 681-nucleotide ribosomal RNA is filed under the name Bacillus subtilis. RNAcentral's name for it is "bacterial SSU rRNA". It matches the Rfam family "Bacterial small subunit ribosomal RNA", at positions 556 to 1238 of the family's 1533-position model. Lineage: Bacteria; Bacillati; Bacillota; Bacilli; Caryophanales; Bacillaceae. The record is from RNAcentral.